Molecule: long non-coding RNA, 689 nt
Filed under: Capsicum annuum
Lineage: Eukaryota; Viridiplantae; Streptophyta; Magnoliopsida; Solanales; Solanaceae
Description: long non-coding RNA (CANN_LNC013301)
Source: RNAcentral
GUAGACGCUACUGUUUCACCUCCUCUCGGCUAUGCCUUCUCUUCGGAUAGCUCUCUUCCCACGCCGGAAUUCUUUUCCUCCGGCGUACCUCCGAUGACAAACGCCGCCGCCGGUCAUUCCCAUUGGUCACCGGAUCUGUCCUCUGCUCUUUACCGGGUUGAUGGGUGGGGUGCUCCUUAUUUCUCUGUUAACUCCUCCGGUGAUAUCUCCGUCCGGCCACAUGGUACGGAUACUCUUCCUCACCAGGAGAUUGACCUUCUUAAGGUUGCGAAGAAGGCGGCUGACCCGAAACAUUUGGGUGGGCUUGGACUUCAGAUGCCUCUUGUUGUUCGUUUCCCUGAUAUUCUGAAGAACCGUUUGGAGACUUUGCAAUCGGCUUUUGAUAUGGCGGUUCGUUCCAGGGGAUAUGAGGCUCAUUACCAAGGUGUUUAUCCUGUGAAAUGUAAUCAAGACAGGUUCGUGGUGGAAGAUAUCGUGAAAUUCGGAUCGCCAUAUCGAUUCGGGUUGGAAGCCGGGUCGAAACCGGAGCUCCUUUUGGCCAUGAACUGUCUGUCCAAGGGCAGCGCUGAUGCUCUUCUUGUUUGCAAUGGUUUCAAGGAUACUGAGUAUAUUUCGCUUGCUUUGAUCGCAAGAAAGCUCCUUUUGAACACUGUAAUUGUGCUUGAACAAGAGGAGGAGCUUGACCUGGU